RNAcentral lists this ribosomal RNA (1275 nucleotides) under Disolenia tenuissima. RNAcentral's name for it is "SSU rRNA". It matches the Rfam family "Eukaryotic small subunit ribosomal RNA", at positions 85 to 1372 of the family's 1831-position model. The record is from RNAcentral. Lineage: Eukaryota; Polycystinea; Collodaria; Collosphaeridae.
AAUUGCGGAUGGCUCAUUAAAACAGUUAUUAUUAAUAUGAAAUAAUUUUUUAUGUGGAUAACUUUAGAAAUUCUUCAGCUAAUACAUGGUAUAUUGGAUAUUUUUCAUAAAUGAUAUAUUUGCUUUUAUAUUUAAACAGAUUAAUGUGUUUCUACAUUAUAGAAGAGUCAUAUUAUUAAUUACAGAUCGCAAUAUAUAAUGUGGCAACUCAUUUGAAUUUCUGACCUAUCAGUUAAUCAGUAGUGUAUUGGUUUAUUGAGGCACUUACAGGUAACAGAGAAUUAGGGUUUUGUUCCGGAGAGGGAGUCUGAGAAAUAGCUACCACAUCUAAGGAAGGCAGCAGGCACGUAAAUUACCCAAUUUUGACUAGCAGAGGUAGUAACAAGAAAUCACAAUAUGGUGCCUUAGGGUUAAAUAAUUGUAUUGAGAAAAAUAUAAGCAUCUUAUCGAUAAACUAGUGGAGGGCAAGUCUGGUGCCAGCAGCCGCGGUAAUUCCAGCUCCAAUAGUAUAUGCUAACAUUGUUGCAAUUAAAAAGCUCGUAGUCGAAUAUUGUAAGUAUUCAAAUUUAUGUGGUCUUAAUGAACUACAAAAUAAAUUUACCUUAAUUUUAAUAAUUUAAUUUUAUUAGCAUUUAUUUUCUGAUAUUAAUAUAAUUUAUUUUUUCUUUGAAAAAAUUAGAGUGUUUUAAGCAAUCUUAUGAUAUUAUUUUAAAGUAUGGAAUGAUAAGUAAUGAUGUUGGCUAAUUUUUUUAAUUUAAGUAGUUAAUAUAAUGACUAAUAGAAUUAUUCGGAGGGAUUAGUAUUUUAUUGUUAGAAGUGAAAUUUUGGGAUCGAUAAAAGACUGACUAUAGCAAAAGCAUUUAUCUAGGAUAUACUCUUUGAUCAAGAACGUAAGUUGAGGGAUCGAAGAUGAUCAGAUACCGUCGUAGUCUUAACUAUAAACUAUAUCAACUAGGGAUUUGCAAAUGUUUCUAUGACUUAUUUAGAACCUUAUGAGAAAUCAAAGAAUCUGGAUUCCGGGGGGAGUAUGGUCGCAAGGCUGAAACUUAAAGGAAUUGACGGAAGGGCACCACAAGAUGUGGAUUCUGUGGCUUAAUUUGACUCAACACUGGAAAACUUAUCAGAUCCAGACAUAAAUAUUAUUGACAGAUUGAUAGUUCUUUCUUGAUUCUAUGGGUGGUGGUGCAUGGCCGUUCUUAGUUGGUGAAAUGAUUUGUCUGGUUAAUUCCGUUAACGAACAAGACUAUUACUUGUUAAUUUACAUGGUAUUAUAUA